RNAcentral lists this ribosomal RNA (331 nucleotides) under Phoenicocoris modestus. RNAcentral's name for it is "partial large subunit ribosomal RNA". The record is from RNAcentral. Lineage: Eukaryota; Metazoa; Arthropoda; Insecta; Hemiptera; Miridae.
CUUUAUUUUAUAAAAAUAAAUUAAUUUCUAAAUUAAAAAGUUUAGUUUUAUUUAAAAGACGAGAAGACCCUAUAGAGCUUUAUUAAUUUUUAAAUAAUUUUUAUUUUGUUUAUAUUUAUUUUUUAUUAAAAAUUUAAUUUUGUUGGGGUGACAAAAAAAAAUAGAUAACUUUUUUUCUUUCAUUCAUUUAUUUAUGAUUUUUUGAUCCUUUUUUAUGGAAAAAAGAUUAAGUUACCUUAGGGAUAACAGCGUUAUUAUUUUAAAGAGUUCUUAUCGAUAAAAUAGUUUGCGACCUCGAUGUUGGAUUAAAAUAAGUUUCAGGAGUAAAAGA